ACGGGGCGCUGGGGAGUGGAGAGUGGAAACAGGAAACACUUUAAUAGCCUGCAAAUUUAUUCUUUACAAUCGCCAGAACGAAGCGAGCGCCGCGCUGGACACUUUCUCUUUAUUGCGAAACGAGUUGCGCGGCAUUUUCACGACCGGACUGGAAUGAAACUGGACAUCCUCGGAGGUGGCUGCUGUGGCCGCUUCUUCUUCCGCCUGCGUCUGCUUUUAAGGCCUUUUUUCUUAUUUUUUGCCUGAUUUUUUAUUUUUAUAUUUUUUUUUUUUGGACUUGUCUGGUUUUCUGUUGGCCAGCCCAAAAAAGCGGCGCAACUUUCGUCGCCGCAUUGCGUUGCGAUGCGUUAGCGGCCAGUUCCGGCUUCUGCGGCGGCUCCUCCUGCGCCCCCCGCCUUUCUCCGCCUUUCUCCCGCCUUUCUCCCGUCUUUCUCUCUCCCAUCGCAGACGCAGCGAAAUAAGGCAACAAGUGCGCGGCCGUAGAAAUGUCGCCUGCUCUGCUCCUGCGCUCUCCCGGCUUUUUUGGCCGCCUUAAGUUCCUGAUCUCUCGCUGGAAUGUGUGCGCGUGUGUGUGAGUGCGGAUGAAUGGAGUCUGAGAUCAAGGGCGUGAUCAGUGGGGGUGGGAAAGAGAGAGCGAGGGGAGAGGCAACAAGUGGGAAGGAGGAACAUAAAAGUGAGUUGCCACUAUGAGCACCCUUUAACCCAUAGGUGGUCCUAGGUCAUUUGACCCUUCCCGUUACUCGUAAAGCAAUUAUUGUACUGUUACUAGGUUAACAGAAUGUUUGACGUGUUUCCUUCUAGAAAUAUCACUAUCUCAACACACUAUUAAGAUCCUCUACGCGCGGAGGAUCUGGCAACACACUUAAAUUCCAAUCAUUUGUAUAAUCAUUUUUGCAAACCAUUAUAAGGUGUUCAUCCCAGGACUCCACAAGCACACCAUCUGAAGCGGAAUGAGGGUUAAUCCUGGGAAUGUCACUACUACCAGUAUCAUCAGUAAGAUUCUUCAUAGUCGCUUAGGGUGUGGCAACGCUGUCACAUAUAAGGUUGCCAUCCCAAGAAUCUUAAGCAUCAUCCGGGGAUGCCACUUUGUUAACAUAAUUUCUUUUCUAAUUCUUUAUAGCUCUAUAUUCAAAUCUUUAAAUCCUCAAAAAAUCGCUUAUAAUAAAACUACAAGAAAGAUAUAUCUUACAACCCGGGACCGAAUAAGCUGGCAACUAUAUCUUUCAAAAGAAAUACAUUUCAAGAGAGAGUGAAUAUGUUAAAAAUGUUGCCACCCUUGUAAUGAUACUUUUAUUAAUAGCUUGGCUUAUUUCAGCUCAGCCGGCUGCCCAUUGAGGUUUCUCAAUGAAUGGCUUUGGCAGCUGGGGCCUGACGUGGACCCCCCCGGAAUCGGAAUGCCUCAGAGGCGAGUGCCACGCCCGAAUUCAGGUGCGCAUCCGAGUCCCAGUGCGAGUUCGACUGGCAACAGGUGGGCCGGGCGGAGCCACAGGUGAGUUACAGGUGACAACCGACAGUCGACAGUCGAGAGUCGAGCGCCGAGAGACGAGAGUCAGGCAGACGGAAUGUCUGGCGCGGCAUGGAGCGGAAUGUCAAACGUUUAUUUGCCGCAUCAGCAUCAGCCUCUGUCUCUGUCUCUGCCUGGCCAACGGCCCACCCGCAAGCUGCCGCCGACUCGAUGACCCACCUAGGAAGGCCCCCCCCUCCGAGCGCCGCCCAUGGGCAAUCCAUGGGAGCAAUCCGGCUGAUUGGAGAUUUGUUUUCUAUUUGCAAUUGAUCGAUGCUCGCCUGCCAGGCAGCACAACGGCCACAAGAAAUGGUAAAAAAAGGAAAACGCUGCAAAAAAGUUAACGCAAAAAUUGAGCUGGACGUCGUUGGACGGUGUCCACGUCCGGUGGGUUCGUUAAUGGCAUUCCGAACCUGGGAUCAGGCCGAUGGAUUAGCCAGCUUUCAGCUCGAGACCUUCGCAAACGUCGCUAAAACAAAUGGGGAUUUUAUUUUAAUGAAAUAUUUUGGAGUCUAAUAUUAUAUUAUUCUAUAUGGUU
This is a long non-coding RNA of Drosophila biarmipes, 2042 nucleotides long. RefSeq lists it as uncharacterized. The transcript has 2 exons. NCBI's taxonomy places the organism in Eukaryota, Metazoa, Arthropoda, Insecta, Diptera, Drosophilidae. The record is from RefSeq and is a predicted model, not a curated record.